Molecule: transfer RNA, 80 nt
Filed under: Neurospora tetrasperma FGSC 2508
Lineage: Eukaryota; Fungi; Ascomycota; Sordariomycetes; Sordariales; Sordariaceae
Also listed under: 1 other name
Description: tRNA-Ala (GGC) (tRNA-Ala-GGC-1-1)
Rfam family: tRNA
About the family: Transfer RNA (tRNA) molecules are approximately 80 nucleotides in length. Their secondary structure includes four short double-helical elements and three loops (D, anti-codon, and T loops).
Source: RNAcentral
GGUCCGUUGGUGUAAUGGUAACACUAACCUAUCCUGGCGUGGUAGAGCGGAAGAUACCGGUUCGAAUCCGGUACGGGCCA